This 346-nucleotide ribosomal RNA is filed under the name Pseudohalonectria lignicola. RNAcentral describes it as "SSU rRNA". It matches the Rfam family "Eukaryotic small subunit ribosomal RNA", at positions 20 to 370 of the family's 1831-position model. The record is from RNAcentral. Lineage: Eukaryota; Fungi; Ascomycota; Sordariomycetes; Magnaporthales; Ophioceraceae.
GUAGUCAUAUGCUUGUCUCAAAGAUUAAGCCAUGCAUGUCUAAGUAUAAGCAAUUAUACAGCGAAACUGCGAAUGGCUCAUUAUAUAAGUUAUCGUUUAUUUGAUAGUACCCUACUACUUGGAUAACCGUGGUAAUUCUAGAGCUAAUACAUGCUAAAAAUCCCGACUUCGGAAGGGAUGUAUUUAUUAGAUUAAAAACCAAUGCCCUCCGGGGCUCCUUGGCGAUUCAUGAUAACUCCUCGAAUAGCACGGCCUUGUGCCGGCGAUGGUUCAUUCAAAUUUCUUCCCUAUCAACUUUCGACGGCUGGGUCUUGGCCAGCCGUGGUGACAACGGGUAACGGGGAAU